RNAcentral lists this ribosomal RNA (322 nucleotides) under uncultured bacterium. RNAcentral describes it as "bacterial SSU rRNA". It matches the Rfam family "Bacterial small subunit ribosomal RNA", at positions 794 to 1112 of the family's 1533-position model. The record is from RNAcentral.
UCCUGGCUGUAAACGAUGGGCACUAGGUGCUGGGAGAUUCGACCCUUUCAGUGCCGCAGCCAACGCAUUAAGUGCCCCGCCUGGGGAGUACGACCGCAAGGUUAAAACUCAAAGGAAUUGACGGGUCCCCGCACAAGCGGUGGAGCAUGUGGUUUAAUUCGAUGCAACGCGAAGAACCUUACCUGGACUUGACAUCCCGCUGAAAGCUUAUGGAAACACUAGCCCUCCUUCGGGACAGCGGAGACAGGUGGUGCAUGGCUGUCGUCAGCUCGUGCCGUGAGGUGUUGGAUUAAGUUCCGCAACGAGCGCAACCCUCGCCGUU